Molecule: transfer RNA, 67 nt
Filed under: human gut metagenome
Rfam family: tRNA
About the family: Transfer RNA (tRNA) molecules are approximately 80 nucleotides in length. Their secondary structure includes four short double-helical elements and three loops (D, anti-codon, and T loops).
Source: RNAcentral
UGGUGUAGCUCAAUUGGCAGAGCAUCUGAUUUGUAAUCAGAAGGUUGCGGGUUCAAGUCCCAUCACC